This 508-nucleotide ribosomal RNA is filed under the name uncultured bacterium. Its description in RNAcentral is "partial 16S ribosomal RNA". It matches the Rfam family "Bacterial small subunit ribosomal RNA", at positions 28 to 523 of the family's 1533-position model. The record is from RNAcentral.
GAUGAACGCUAGCGGCAGGCUUAAUACAUGCAAGUCGAGGGGCAGCAGGUCCCGCAGCAAUGUGGGAUGCUGGCGACCGGCAAACGGGUGCGGAACACGUACAGAACCUUCCUUUAAGUGGGGAAUAGCCCGGGGAAACCCGGAUUAAUACCCCGUAACAUAAUGAAGUGGCAUCACUUUAUUAUUAUAGCAGCAAUGCGCUUGAAGAUGGCUGUGCGGCUGAUUAGGUAGUUGGCGGGGUAACGGCCCACCAAGCCUACGAUCAGUAACUGGUGUAAGAGAAGGACAAGUCACACGGGCACGGGGACACGGGCCCGACUCCGACGGGAGGCAGCAGUAAGGAAUAUUGGGCAAUGGACGCAAGUCUGACCCAGCCAUGCCGCGUGGAGGAUGAAGGUCCUCUGGAUUGUAAACUUCUUUUAUCUGGGAAGAAAUCUAUUUUUUCUAAAGUAGUUGACGGUACCAGAUGAAUAAGCACCGGCUAACUCCGUGCCAGCCGCCGCGGUAA